CACUGAUAAGAAAUCAUCCCCAGUUUUCAAAUACCUAUCGGGCGGCUCAAUCUCUGAAGCUGGCACUCUUUUCAGCUUUCUUGUUGCUAUGUUAUACAAGGCUAGAUCUCGCUCAGAAUUUCGCAACGCAACCAACCCAUUACACGAACCGAUGGCUUCAGUCCCGCCACCCACAUGUAAAGGGUGUUCGAGGGAUUCCGCGGAGCCAAUGGCGGAAGCAGCAACAUCAAGAGAAUCAAAAUCGACGGUAUAGAGAUUCCAAUCUCGAAGGAUGAGAGAGAGAUUGGAUCUGGUAUGAAGUGAAUGGGAGAGAUGGAGUUGAAUGAAAUUUGGACCAUUAAUUAAUGAGCAGAGAGGUUUUGAUAAGCAUCGGAAGCGGAGAAGAGCCUUGAUAGGGAGCUGAAGGAGGAUGUCGUUGAUGAUAUCCUGAGGGACUUUGGACAUUUUUCCUUUCUGUCAGUGUUUGGCUGAGAGGAAAAUGGAAGGGAAAGAAGGAAGAGAGAAAAUAAGGAGGUGGAAACCAUAAAUAGAUUAGGUUUUUGAAAGGUGCUUCGGUUGGGGAAAGGAACAGAC
RNAcentral lists this unclassified non-coding RNA (573 nucleotides) under Hevea brasiliensis (rubber tree). The record is from RNAcentral. Lineage: Eukaryota; Viridiplantae; Streptophyta; Magnoliopsida; Malpighiales; Euphorbiaceae.